UACGGGGGGGGCAAGCGUUGUCCGGAAUUACUGGGCGUAAAGGGCUCGUAGGCGGCCAACUAAGUCGGACGUGAAAUCCCUCGGCUUAACCGGGGAACUGCGUCCGAUACUGGAUGGCUUGAGUUUGGGAGAGGGAUGCGGAAUUCCAGGUGUAGCGGUGAAAUGCGUAGAUAUCUGGAGGAACACCGGUGGCGAAGGCGGCAUCCUGGACCAACACUGACGCUGAGGAGCGAAAGCCAGGGGAGCAAACGGG
Molecule: ribosomal RNA, 253 nt
Filed under: uncultured bacterium
Lineage: Bacteria
Description: partial 16S ribosomal RNA
Rfam family: Bacterial small subunit ribosomal RNA
Source: RNAcentral